AGUUCAUCCACUUUCAUUGUUCAAUAACAAUCAGGGUUCAAAAUAUACUGCAUGUAAUGUGACAGGAGAUUGGGAGGUGAGACUCUCCCUCUAGAUUGGCUCCCUGAGGAUAGGGAUAACCGAAUACAUGGGGCCAAGGAUAGAUUGUACCAAAGGUGGUUCUCCUACAAGUGAGGCAACCUGGCAGUGAGACCCUGCCUCCUGAAGCAAGGCCCAGAUCUCACAGCAGCAGCUGUUGGCAGUGUCUGUCUCCGGCGCCAAAGAAAGACUGGAUGAAGAUGCUCUUGAAAAAGCCCAGGAAAAAAGCUAUACCAUGCCUAAGGGAAACUUCUUGAGCGUCCCAUAAUAAGAAGGAAAAAGACUUCCAUCAGUCAGGAGCUGUGAGGUACUCCUUUGCCACAUAUGCUCUCUAAGCUUGAAACCACUCUCCCUUGAACUUUGCACAUGCAUGUGGGAGAAUGUAUCAAAGACUCUGGGGUGCAAGGUUAUUUUGUAACAACUGUUCUUACUAUACCACUUUAGUAAAUACCCCUUUCUAAAAACUAA
This is a long non-coding RNA of Antechinus flavipes (yellow-footed antechinus), 546 nucleotides long. RefSeq lists it as uncharacterized. The transcript has 3 exons. The record is from RefSeq and is a predicted model, not a curated record. NCBI's taxonomy places the organism in Eukaryota, Metazoa, Chordata, Mammalia, Dasyuromorphia, Dasyuridae.